AGUCCAUUCCAGGUUAUUGUUCAUGUGAACUCCCAGGUACUUGUAAGAUGUCACCACCAGCUCAUUGAUAGCAACAAAUACCCAGAAUGCAGGCAUGAAAAUCACUCACCUUUCGGCGAAAUUUGACAUUUUGAAACCAAAAUAGGUGACCUACGUGAAUAGUGUAGCUCUGAUGAGAAAAUAUUUUUUUUUUGGGGGGGGGGUGUAUGGACAGGACAUGGAGGUAUACCAGAGAAUGAAAUGCGAACAUGUGCGCACCUGAGGGGAGCCUUGAAUUCGAUAAAAAACAACUUUUGUACAAUCUCUACAACUCAUUUUCAAUUUCCAUCUAGCAGAUGUGUUCAGGAAGAUCAGUCAGAAUUUGCAUUCCCUGUAAGAAAGAAAACAAAUUUGUCUUCAAAAUAAGAGCUUUACAUUGUACCCCAUUGGAGUUUAGAACUGGGUUCUUAGCGGAGGGCUUUUAAGUUGAAAGUAGUGUCAGAGACACUACUGCUUGAUAUUAAGGGUAAUUAAUCACUGGCGAUUAAUUAUACACUCAUUAAUGGGGCACCACCUCCAUUGUUUAGUUCUUGGAAUAAUCCGGAGGAAUUUAUUCCAAGCACCUAGUUGUACAAGUUUGAUCUAUCGGUUCUCCACCUUAGAAUUAAGUUCCAGACAAAGACAAACGAUUCUAUAUGUUUAUUGACUAAAUAAUUUGGGGUAAAAUAAAUGGAAUGACAAUUUUAGACGGACAACAACAGAAAACGUAAAGACUGUAAUUAGGAAAGUAAUGAAGUUAGAGUUAGGCAGAUGGUGGAGUUAAAGGGUCGGGUUUUUAUAUAUUAAAUAUUACGGGAGUAAUUUUUAAUACUAACAAGACCCUAAUCUCAAUUCUCUUAAUUUCAUAAGAUAGAAGUCAGAACUUAGACAGAAGUCAGAACCUAGACAGAAGUCAGAACUUUAGACACCACUCAUUCUCACGUGUGUGGAUCCAGCUGUAUGAGGACAUUCAGGCUGUUUGUCUGGGAGUCAGGAGAUCCUGAAGCUUGGUUUCCUUGAGAGUUCUAGGUUGGACUACAGAACGGCGUGUUGGUCCAGUAGCCAGAGGGAAAGCCGGUACUCUGUUGAGGGACUCUCGGUCCUGAAGGCCCAGCGGGGUUUCUGCCUUUGGAGCGCUGGGGGCAGAGUCAGUCUUGGCUGGGAGCACACAAAGUCUCUUUUGUUGGAGACACCUUGCAAGGCUUCUGAAGCAGACAAUAACUGCAACGUUCUUCAUCAGAUAGUCUUGAAAAAGACUUUUUGUUCGUUGUUUCAGGUGGUGGUUCAUAAGUUCUGAUUCUUAACUAAUUCAACCUCCUCUGGAUCAGGCGGUGAUACUUUAAAAAUCAAAAAGAAAAGAAUUUUGUUCUGUUAAAACUUGGAUGAAGUAAAACACUUAAAGUGGUGGUUCAGUUCGCUUUUCUUAGAGCUUUUUGCAAAAAUAGAAUUAAAGAUUACUUUAAAAAUAAAAAGGGAAGAAAAGAGAGAGGAGAAAGGGCAGAGACUAGCAGAGUAGAAGAGUGCAGAGAAGAGAAGAAGGAAGAGAGAGAAGAAAAAGAGUCGAACAGAGAGAGAGCAUGUCUCUGUUUUAUGGCCUGCAGCAGAUGGACCACAAGGUGUGGGGGCUGGUUGAGUGUCCCUCCUCCUGUGAUCUGAGUUUAGGCUCCCAGAAGUUUAAUCUAACUAAACUAUUGUAUUUAAUGUUUUGUAAUCAUGUUUUAACCUUCUCAAAACUUCACCAUCUUAAAAGUCGAAUUUUUGUCUUUGUGAAACGAUGCGACAUGCUUAUGAUCAUUCAAAAGGAUUAAGACAUGAUUAAGACAUAAAACAAUUAAGUAUACAACAUAAACAAAGUAUACAAUGCACAGUGGGACCAGGACUUGUACAUAUUCCUUGUAGUUCUAACUAAACAAAACAUAUAAGACAUUUAACUGGUAAAUAACAAAGUAUUAUACACAAAGAGGAUAAUGAUCUGAAAAUUACCAAGGGGAGGGGCUGGCUUCUCCCCGACUUCAAACUCAGUAAGCAAUAACUUCAUUCUGGUUUAACAGUACAUUGAGAAACAUGAAACAUCAACAUAUGACCUUCUUAUGCCAUUUGUGAAUCUGCUAAAAUUAAGAACAUGAAAUUGUAGUUUAUUAGUUAUUCAGAACUUAUUGGAAUUUGGAUGAGGAUAGAGACUGCAGUGGGACUGGAAUGUCAGACCCAGGAACAACCACGGUCGUAAAUAAAAGUUCGACAUGUGUGGUGGAAAAACACAUAGAUCGGGGGGGGGGGACCAGAUGUGCUUAGUCAUUGUAAAUUAGAAAAAGAAGGUCUCUGGUGAUCGGUUUAUAGCAAGACAGACACCAUCUUCUCACUCUGUGAAGAGAAGAAGAUCUGCCAGGUCAGGAGGUGAGGGGGCUCUCCGGCCCACAUGCUGGAGGAAGUAGCCAAUCUGGGUCAAAGGUAAUUAUGGCAGAGCAGGACCAUUUUAAGAUACAAGCCGCUCCCCCAAAACCAUGAAUGCGCAUCGUCCGACCACUACCGAAUACUGCCGUCAGAGUCCGGGUCUUCAUGAAUGGUGGGAGGAGGAGUACUAGUGCAUUGUUUUCAUCACAACAUCUAACUACAAGUUGCAACUUAAUGUCUCAUUCACCUAACUUCCACGAUGACAGCAUCACUAACUCUGAUGACAAAGACAUGCCACAGAGCAAAACAGAUCAUCCUGUCAGAGAGGACGACAGGAGGGCAACCAGCUGUGUCUGAGAAAGUGGAGGUAGAUGGACUUGGGAGGGCGACGGUUCAAGGAGCAGAUGUUGAUACACUGAGUAGAGGAUCUUCAGGCUCAAAAGAUUGCUCAUGAGCAGGUCAGCAUCCAGCACAGAACAUUACUGGUGCUUUUGUCCUGAUAAACACCACGUACAACUAUUGUUGUUUGUACAGUAUAUUGACCAGGCAUGUGAUUUGGACUCACAAGCGCCCUUAUCAUAAUCACCUAUUUUGCCAAGUAGUUUUUCACCACUUGAAUUUGUGUUUUGGUGCAUGAUAAUAAACACAGUAAGUAGAAACAUGUAAGAAAAAUUGAGGACUGCUACUUGGGAAAACUAUAAAAUGAUAUAAACUUGGUCAUCUGUGCAGUUUUGUCCAGGAAUGUCUACAGUAUCAGUCAUUGAAAGUGUAUAUGUUCACUGUAUGCUGAGGACAGUUGAGCUCUGUUCCAUAAAGAUAUUUAAUCAUGUUGCUCAUUUAUUUCUUUGCAGACCAAAAUUCAAGGACUAUGUUUGGAGCAAUCACAUUAAGUGCUGGAACUCUGCCUGACACCUAUUGAUUUGUCGUUCUGUGUUUACUCCUUGUUUUGCAUUAUCUCUAAAUUGUUUGAAUAAAGUCUUGAAAAUGA
Molecule: long non-coding RNA, 3397 nt
Organism: Acanthopagrus latus (yellowfin seabream)
Lineage: Eukaryota; Metazoa; Chordata; Actinopteri; Spariformes; Sparidae
Exons: 2
Source: RefSeq, a predicted model, not a curated record